UUGCCGGAGCCGUGAGCCGUGCCUUCUGGCGAUGGCAGCAUAAGUAUGUGCAGCCCAAGAGGAAUGGGAUUGCUCCCUUCUUCCAGCUCACUGUGAGUGCUAUGAUCUUCUUCUAUGCCAUCAACUACGGAAAACU
RNAcentral lists this long non-coding RNA (136 nucleotides) under Phlebotomus papatasi. Its description in RNAcentral is "sphinx conserved region 2". It matches the Rfam family "Sphinx conserved region 2", at positions 1 to 137 of the family's 158-position model. The record is from RNAcentral. Lineage: Eukaryota; Metazoa; Arthropoda; Insecta; Diptera; Psychodidae.